Molecule: ribosomal RNA, 1986 nt
Filed under: human metagenome
Description: bacterial LSU rRNA
Rfam family: Bacterial large subunit ribosomal RNA
Source: RNAcentral
UCAAGCAAGAAGAGGUUUGCGGCGGAUGCCUGGGAGCUGUCCGGCGAAGAAGGCCGCGGUAAGCUGCGAAAAGCUGCGGGGAGGAGCACACAUCCUGAGAUCCGCAGAUAGCCGAAUGGGGUAACCCGUAUGCCGCAAGGCAUACACCGCGCGCGGGAAGAAGAUACUGCGGCGGAGCGAUACUGCGUGAAGUGAACCAUCUAAGUAACGCGGGAAGAGAAAUCAAAAGAGAUUGCGCAAGUAGCGGCGAGCGAACGCGCAGGAGCCUAAACCCUUAUGUAGGGUGUUGCAGGGCCGCACGGGGAUGACCCGUGGAGUUGGUGAGAAAACCGAUAUGUAGCGGAAGCGUCUGGAAAGGCGCGCGAGACAGCGUGAAAGCCGCGUAUGCGAAAGAUAUCGGACUCCAUGGUGCGGUACCUAAGUAGGGCGGGGCACGAGAAACCCUGUUUGAAUCCGGGUCGACCACGAUCCAAGGCUAAAUACGAGACAGCUACCGACAGCGAAGAGUACCGUGAGGGAACGGCGAAAAGAACCCCGGUGAGGGGAGUGAAAGAGAACCUGAAACCGCAAACCGACAAGAUGUCACGGCGCGCGAGCGUUGUGGCGUGUCUUUUGUAGAAUAAACCUGCGAGUUGCGAUGCGCGGCGAGGCUAAGGGUUGGGAGAUCCGGAGCCGGAGCGAAAGCGAGUGUGAAAAGUGCGAAAAGUCGCGUGUCGCAGACCCGAAGCCAAGGUGAUCUAAUUAUGGGCAGGCUGAAGGCAGGGUGAAACCUGUUGGAGGGCCGAACAGUAAUCUGUUAAAAAAGGUAGUGAUGACCUGUGAUUAGGAGUGAAAGGCUAAACAAACCUGGAAAUAGCUGGCUCUCCCCGAAAUGCCUUUAGGGACAGCCUCAUGCAAAGCGGAAGGAGGUAAAGCACCGGAUGGGAUAGGGGGCGUCACAGUCUACCGACACCAAUCGAACUCAGAAUGCCAUCCGCCAACGCAUGGGAGUGAGACUGUGUGCUCCAAGGUUCAUAGUCGAGAGGGAAACAGCCCGGACCGACGGCAAAGGUCCCGAAAUAACGCUCAGUGUGAAAUGAGGUGCGUCUGCACAGACAGCCAGGAGGUUGGCUCAGAAGCAGCCAUUCCUUAAAAGAGUGCGUAACAGCUCACUGGUCGAGCAGGCGUGCGCAGACAAUGUAACGGGGCUAAGCGUUAUACCGAAGCCGCGGGUCCGCAUUGUAAGAUGCGGGCGGUAGGGGAGCAUUGCGCUAACCGAAGAAGGCGUACCCGUGAGGGGCGCUGGAGGAAGCGGAAGAGAGAAUGCAGGCACAAGUAACGAAAAGACGGGUGAGAUUCCCGUCCGCCGAAAGCCUGAGGAUUCCCGGGUAAAGGCAAUCUGCCCGGGGUAAGUCGGCCCCUAAGGCGAGGACGAAAGUCGUAGUCGAUGGGAAAUCGGUUCAAAAUCCGAUACCCGGCUCAGUUUUGAAGGCAGGACGCAUGAGGUGAAAUCCGGCAGAAGAACGGUAGAUUCUGUCCAAGCGGUAAGGUGUUGAGAGGGCGGUUAAAAGAGCCCUUGAGCUGAGCCGUUACGGGGAGCGGAGCGCAGGCGAAGCGAAGCGGAUGUAAUCAAGGUGCCGGGAAAUACUGUCUAAAGCUAGGCUGAGUCGGACCGUACCGGAAACGGACACACGCAGGCAGGAUGAGUAAUCUAAGGCGCACGAGCGACCCCGCGUUAAGGAACUCGGCAAAAAGCACACGUAACUUCGGAAGAAGUGUGGCUCACGCUGAUAAGGAUGUGAGCGGCAGAAAGCAGGCCCAGGCGACUGUUUACCAAAAACACAGCCAUCUGCGAACCGGCAACGGGACGUAUAGGUGGUGACACCUGCCCGGUACCGGAAGGUUAAGGGGAGGGGUUAGCAGGAAUGCGAAGCUCCGAACCGAAGCCCCGGCAAACGGCGGCCGUAACUAUAACGGUCCUAAGGUAGCGAAAUUCCUUGUCGGGUA